GACGAACGCUGGCGGCGUGCUUAACACAUGCAAGUCGAGCGGUAAGGCCCUUUCGGGGGUACACGAGCGGCGAACGGGUGAGUAACACGUGGGUGACCUGCCCUCAGCUCUGGGAUAAGCCUGGGAAACCGGGUCUAAUACUGGAUAUGACUCCAUGACGCAUGUUGUGGGGUGGAAAGCCUUGUGCGGCUGAGGAUGGGCCCGCGGCCUAUCAGCUUGUUGGUGGGGUGAGGCCUACCAAGGCGACGACGGGUAGCCGGCCUCGAGAGGGCGACCGGCCACACUGGGACUGAGACACGGCCCAGACUCCUACGGGAGGCAGCAGUGGGGAAUCUUGCGCAAUGGGCGAAAGCCUGACGCAGCGACGCCGCGUGAGGGAUGACGGCCU
This 388-nucleotide ribosomal RNA is filed under the name uncultured bacterium. RNAcentral's name for it is "bacterial SSU rRNA". It matches the Rfam family "Bacterial small subunit ribosomal RNA", at positions 28 to 417 of the family's 1533-position model. The record is from RNAcentral.